Long non-coding RNA from Vanessa tameamea, 544 nucleotides. RefSeq lists it as uncharacterized. The transcript is spliced from 3 exons. NCBI's taxonomy places the organism in Eukaryota, Metazoa, Arthropoda, Insecta, Lepidoptera, Nymphalidae. The record is from RefSeq and is a predicted model, not a curated record.
GAUAUUUCCUGAAUCGGGAACUGCGUUAGAAACUAUUUUCCGAAUUUAUUCCAAAGCAGAAGACACAGAAAGCCCAUUGUUGUACUCGUUCUAUUGUGAUAUUGGAAAUGGCACAUUGCUACUUGCUUCGUAUUUUGACCACUGGACAGUUGACACGUUUUUGCCCUACGUAGAUGGUGGUACAGAUAUCUGGAUGGUGGUAUGUGAUAGCCUCGGCGCUUGCUCCAGGAGCGAUGUGAAGACGAUUGAAUUACAUCCAAACAAUAACAUUAGCAUUGACGUGGUUUCAAAAGUUAUGAACGAUUAUAUAAAACGAUGUGAAAUACUACAGUUUCAACGUAUCGCUAUGUCAGCUAUCGUCAGUUACAGGAAUGCAGGUCAAUCGGAACUAACGAUAUUUACGAAGUCAGUGCUUGAAUCAUUGCCAGGGUUACACCCUCGCUGCUUAUCAGAAAGCCGAUAUUUGGAAGUUUUAAGUAAAUUGGCUGCUGUUGGCGUCAACACGACUUCGAUAUUUAAAUAAUUGGCGUUUCCAUAACGGUUU